Molecule: long non-coding RNA, 317 nt
Organism: Cydia amplana
Lineage: Eukaryota; Metazoa; Arthropoda; Insecta; Lepidoptera; Tortricidae
Exons: 2
Source: RefSeq, a predicted model, not a curated record
CGCCGCGUCUGUUUGUGUAUUUGUAUGUUCGCGAUAAACUCAAAAACGACUGAAUGGAUUUUCAUGCGGUUUCCUUCUAUCGAUAGAGUGGCUCGGAUACCGGUUAAAUUUCCAAACCGUUAUGAUGUACUUGGCGCAAAACCUUUUAUUUUCGGUUUUGUUCGUAAUACCGUUAUUUUUAAACCGGUUUUUAGGGGAACGCUUUCAUAAAGUUCUUGUCACAUUAACCGGUUAAGAACAAUUAUAACCGGUUUAUUCCAACGCACGAUAAACAAACUCUGUUUUCUUUAAUUCUGGAUUUGUAACAAACUUCUGCU